CGCUCUCGGAGCCCGGUGGACGGCGCUGGGUUUCUGGGCUCCAGCCUCCCAGUCUGUCCUGGGUGCCAAGAUGUCUGGGUUCGGUGGAAGUGGCAGCAGGGAGAACUUCACUGGAGAUGCUGUGCUAGGUGACUGAUUAUGAGAUGCAAGAGGAAAACCAGGUUAUCAAAACUCUGUGACCAGCGAAGAUACCAACACAACAAAAGCCUCCAUCACUCAGUGUGGCCUGGUCUGGAAGAUAAUUGUGUGCAGUCUGCACAGGCUUUAGAAUCUUGAUAUCCAGCCCAGUUCCUGUCCUACUGGAAGGACUUGCACUUCUGUUGAAUUGCUUGUAAUGGCAAGAAGUUAAUACCAAAAACAGGGGACUUGACGGAUG
This is a long non-coding RNA of Zalophus californianus (California sea lion), 376 nucleotides long. RefSeq lists it as uncharacterized. The record is from RefSeq and is a predicted model, not a curated record. Lineage: Eukaryota; Metazoa; Chordata; Mammalia; Carnivora; Otariidae. The transcript is spliced from 3 exons.